RNAcentral lists this ribosomal RNA (826 nucleotides) under alpha proteobacterium SCGC AAA288-J21. RNAcentral describes it as "SSU rRNA". It matches the Rfam family "Bacterial small subunit ribosomal RNA", at positions 34 to 911 of the family's 1533-position model. The record is from RNAcentral. Lineage: Bacteria; Pseudomonadati; Pseudomonadota; Alphaproteobacteria.
CGCUGGCGGCACGCCUAACACAUGCAAGUCGAACGAAGUAGCAAUACUUAGUGGCGAACGGGUGAGUAUAAUGUGGGUAUCUGCCUUUUGGUUUGGAAUAACACGGGGAAACUUGUGCUAAUACCGGAUAAGCCUUUACAGGGAAAGUUUUAACGCCAAAAGAUGAGCCCGCACUUGAUUAGCUAGUUGGUAAGGUAAUGGCUUACCAAGGCAACGAUCAAUAGCUGAUCUGAGAGGAUGAUCAGCCACAUUGGGACUGAGACACGGCCCAAACUCCUACGGGAGGCAGCAGUGGGGAAUCUUGCACAAUGGGGGAAACCCUGAUGCAGCGAUGCCGCGUGAGUGAAGAAGGCCCUUGGGUUGUAAAGCUCUUUCGUCGGGGAAGAAAAUGACUGUACCCGAAUAAGAAGGUCCGGCUAACUUCGUGCCAGCAGCCGCGGUAAUACGAAGGGACCUAGCGUAGUUCGGAAUUACUGGGCUUAAAGAGCUCGUAGGUGGUUAGAAAAGUUGGUGGUGAAAUCCCAAGGCUUAACCUUGGAACUGCCGCCAAAACUUUUUGACUAGAGUAUGAUAGAGGAAAGUGGAAUUUCUAGUGUAGAGGUGAAAUUCGUAGAUAUUAGAAAGAACACCGAUUGCGAAGGCAACUUUCUGGAUCAUUACUGACACUGAGGAGCGAAAGCAUGGGUAGCGAAGAGGAUUAGAUACCCUCGUAGUCCAUGCCGUAAACGAUGUGUGCUAGACGUUGGAAAUUUAGUUUUCAGUGUCGCAGCAAAAGCGUUAAGCACACCGCCUGGGGAGUACGACCGCAAGUAAACCCAAUGAUACG